This 443-nucleotide ribosomal RNA is filed under the name uncultured bacterium. Its description in RNAcentral is "partial 16S ribosomal RNA". It matches the Rfam family "Bacterial small subunit ribosomal RNA", at positions 338 to 795 of the family's 1533-position model. The record is from RNAcentral.
CCUACGGGUGGCAGCCGUGGGGGAUAUUGGACAAUGGGGGAAACCCUGCUCCAGCGACGCCGCGUGAGUGAAGACGUAUUUCGGUAUGUAAAGCUCUGUCAGCAGGGAAGACAGAAAUGACGGUACCUGACCAAGAAGCCCCGGCUAACUACGUGCCAGCAGCCGCGGUAAUACGUAGGGUGCAAGCGUUAUCCGGAAUUACUGGGUGUAAAGGGAGCGUAGACGGUGAUGCAAGUCUGGAGUGAAAUGCGGGGGCCCAACCCCCGGACUGCUCGGGAAACUGUGUAACUUGAGUGCAGGAGAGGUAGGCGGAAUGCCUAGUGUAGCGGUGAAAUGCGUAGAUAUGAGGAAGAACACCAGUGGCGAAGGCGGCUUACUGGACUGUAACUGACGUUGAGGCUCGAAAGCGUGGGGAUCAAACAGGAUUAGAUACCCCAGUAGUC